ACAGUUCACAGUCCCUUUUCUGGUGAGCGGCAUGGAGGACAGAAAGCCUCAGAAUCCUGCUCCAGACUUCACCUGAUGCCAAGCCUCAUCAUGACUGGCACAGGCAUGACAACACAGCCCAU
Long non-coding RNA from Herpailurus yagouaroundi (jaguarundi), 122 nucleotides. RefSeq lists it as uncharacterized. NCBI's taxonomy places the organism in Eukaryota, Metazoa, Chordata, Mammalia, Carnivora, Felidae. The transcript has 5 exons. The record is from RefSeq and is a predicted model, not a curated record.